GAUGAACGCUGGCGGCGUGCCUAAUACAUGCAAGUCGAGCGAACAGACGAGGAGCUUGCUCCUCUGACGUUAGCGGCGGACGGGUGAGUAACACGUGGAUAACCUACCUAUAAGACUGGGAUAACUUCGGGAAACCGGAGCUAAUACCGGAUAAUAUAUUGAACCGCAUGGUUCAAUAGUGAAAGACGGUUUUGCUGUCACUUAUAGAUGGAUCCGCGCCGCAUUAGCUAGUUGGUAAGGUAACGGCUUACCAAGGCAACGAUGCGUAGCCGACCUGAGAGGGGUGAUGGCCCACACUGAACUUAGGAACGGUCCCGGACCCCUAGGGAGGCAGGCGGUGGGAAGUCUCCGGAAUGGGGCAAAGGCUGACGGGAGAAAGGCCGCGGAGGUAUGAAGGUCUUUCGAUCCGUAAACCCUGGUAUUAGGGAAGAACCAAUGUGUAAGGAACUAUGCACCUCUUGAAGGGAACUAAUCAGAAAGCCACGGCUAACUACGUG
RNAcentral lists this ribosomal RNA (497 nucleotides) under uncultured bacterium. RNAcentral describes it as "partial 16S ribosomal RNA". It matches the Rfam family "Bacterial small subunit ribosomal RNA", at positions 28 to 507 of the family's 1533-position model. The record is from RNAcentral.